GACGAACGCUGGCGGCGUGCUUAACACAUGCAAGUCGAACGGAAAGGCCCUGCUGUUGUGGGGUGCUCGAGAGGCGAACGGGUGAGUAACACGUGAGUAACCUUCCCGUGACGGUGGGAUAACUUCUGGAAACGGGGGAUAAUAGCGGAUAGGAGCUACUGCUGCAUAGGGGGGGAGGGAAAGAUUCGGCGGUUGGGGAUAGACUCGCGGCUUAUCAGCUUGUUGGUUGGGUAGUGGCUGACCACGGCUUUGACGGGUAGCCGGCCUGAGAGGGUUACCGGCCACAUUGCGACUGAGCUACGGCCCAGCCUCCUAUGGUACGCAACAGUGGGGAGUAUAACACAGUGGGCUGAAGCCUGAUGCGGCAACGCCGCGUGCGGGAUGACGGCCUUCGGGUUGUAAACCGCUUUCGCCUGUGCCGAAGCGUGAGUGACGGUAAUGGAUAAAGAAGCACCGGCUAACUACGUG
Molecule: ribosomal RNA, 468 nt
Filed under: uncultured bacterium
Lineage: Bacteria
Description: partial 16S ribosomal RNA
Rfam family: Bacterial small subunit ribosomal RNA
Source: RNAcentral